Molecule: long non-coding RNA, 2072 nt
Filed under: Equus asinus (donkey)
Lineage: Eukaryota; Metazoa; Chordata; Mammalia; Perissodactyla; Equidae
Description: lncRNA (ENSEASG00005030100.1)
Source: RNAcentral
UUCUACCUGGUCUCUGCUGCCAGUUUCCCUUUCCAGACCAGGCCGCGUGUGCCCAAACUCAGUCUGAUGAAACCUUGGCAAAGUUAAGGAUCCAGGCCCUGCCCAGCCUGGUCUUAGACUUCCUCUGAAGUUUACCUCCCAAGCAUCCCCGAAGGACUCACAGCUCCAGCCAAACCUGGAGGACUCCAUCUGAAAAUGGCGACUCUAUGGUGCACGGGGAGGAUUUUCCCUGGCACUGCUCUCCUCCGUCGCUCCACAGCCGAUGACUCCAGCGCAGAUUAAAAGCUGCCAUUUAAGGGAGAGAAUUCAUUGGGACGACGUCGCCAAGCCACUGACAAUGUCACAGAAACAUACUUUCCACAUCUGGGUUCUGUGUUUUGACUUCAUCUAAUUCUUAAACUGGACAAGCUUAUUAAUACGAAGACUGUGGCUCUUUCUGAAUGCAGAAUCAGAAACCACUCCUUUUAAAAAAACCUGUGGACAAUCUUUCCAACCAUAAAAUCACUUCCAUUCUCCAACCAACAAGUUUUCAAAUGGAUUUUGUAAAUGUGCAAGAACUCAAAGCAAAUCUAUUAAAAAAAAAAAAAAAGAUGUCAGGCUGAAAAUAAGGAAAAUCAGAGCGGGAGAAGAGAAUGCAGCCUGUGUGUGCCCCCCUGGCCUUCACAGCACCCUGUUCUUGUGAUGAACCAGCACUCCUCCCCAUAAACUCUAAGUCAUUCUCACCUUCCCAGGAGUUUGUAAGUCAGACAACUGUUAAGGGGACCAACUCAUAAUAUUACUGCAAAAUUUCACAGCUGAAAGUCAAAUAGCAAUGAUUUUGCUCUGCCAGCCUGACACCACCUUGACCAUGUGGAUUAAAGUCCCUGGGCAGCGAGCAUGAGCAUAUAAAGCGUGGCCAGUGAUGUUGGUGCAAGCAGCUCUGCAGUUUAAAAUGUGCCAGAACGUGGUCAUUGAGGGCAUCCAUGCACUUUUUCUUGAUCAAAAUUCUAUACAUUAUGAUAAGUGGAGAAUUCGUGCCAACAACAACAACAACACAAAACCCCCACCAAUUAUGCUGUGUAUCUGGGUUCCCCAGAGAAACAGAAGUUGAGCACCCACCGUGGGCACAGUAAUGUGAAAGCAGACUCGAGAGCUGCAAGAAAGGAGAAGACAUUCCCUUGUUCGUCAUCUGGCUCCUUCGUUCCUUCAUUCAUCAUUCGUUUUGAAAAAAAAAUCGUCUCUCAUUUGGCUGGCAAGGAGGUGAUAACAGAUCUGAAACAUAUUAAGGUGGCACAGAGAAUGAAGUUUGGACACGUGGUGAAAUAACAAGUGAGCGGGGUAGAGGAGGAAAGACUUGCUGGGUGUGCAAAGUCUGUUGACUGAGGAGGAAGUCGGGGGUGCAACGGACUUGGCACUGGUCGGGCAGGACCAACCCCCAAGCCACACAUUCUCCUUGAAGUCCCUCAAGUCUGACACCUUUCAGGCCCCAGGACCCCCUCAGUGUCAGUCCUAGUCGUGGUCUGAGUGCCAUGGAGGUCUGUGGUGCAGCCACAGCCAGGGUUGGAGACAGACACCGCUUCUGAGUGUGGGGAGGAGCUGAGCAGCGAAGAGCUUCAGUGAGAGCAAAGACAAAUGGAUUAACUUGUCAAAUCCCUCUUUUCAGCGAGAAUGUAAUGGAUUCAUGUGAAGUGAAGUAUCAGUGCCUGGUAGUGCCUAGUGUCCACUUGUUUACUCACCUUCCUAUUCCGAUUUGUGACUCCAGAGGCACCUACAGACGAGCGUGGCCUUCACAACAGCGGGACGUGGCUGCUGAGGAGCCCCGUGUGCAAUAUUAAGCGAUUCAGUCUCAAAUUUGCAUACGUGUAAGUCCAAACACGGGGGCAAAUGGAUGAACGAUGCCCAGGGGAAUCACAAAUAGUUUCAUUUUUUUUUAUCAGAAUAUUUCAUGUUUUAAUUAAACUUUAAAAAAUUUAAAUAAAAAUUUCAGCUAUAAUUUUAAUUUAAUAAUUAAAACAUUUUGCUUUUUAAUUUUAAUAGCUAAUUUUGAGUUUUUGAAGCAAAAUACAUGAAAAAUAAUUUAAAUUUAUUUGUCG